UGGGGAAUUUUGGACAAUGGGCGCAAGCCUGAUCCAGCAAUGCCGCGUGUGUGAAGAAGGCCUUCGGGUUGUAAAGCACUUUUGUCCGGAAAGAAAUCCGUCUGGCUAAUACCCGGACGGGAUGACGGUACCGGAAGAAUAAGCACCGGCUAACUACGUGCCAGCAGCCGCGGUAAUACGUAGGGUGCGAGCGUUAAUCGGAUUUACUGGGCGUAAAGCGUGCGCAGGCGGUUUUGUAAGACAGAUGUGAAAUCCCCGGGCUUAACCGGGGAACUGCGUUUGNGACUGCAAGGCUGGAGUACGGCAGAGGGGGGUGGAAUUCCACGUGUAGCAGUGAAAUGCGUAGAGAUGUGGAGGAACACCGAUGGCGAAGGCAGCCCCCUGGGCCUGUACUGACGCUCAUGCACGAAAGCGUGGGGAGCAAACA
RNAcentral lists this ribosomal RNA (427 nucleotides) under uncultured bacterium. RNAcentral's name for it is "bacterial SSU rRNA". It matches the Rfam family "Bacterial small subunit ribosomal RNA", at positions 355 to 774 of the family's 1533-position model. The record is from RNAcentral.